RNAcentral lists this ribosomal RNA (261 nucleotides) under uncultured bacterium. RNAcentral's name for it is "partial 16S ribosomal RNA". It matches the Rfam family "Bacterial small subunit ribosomal RNA", at positions 96 to 355 of the family's 1533-position model. The record is from RNAcentral.
UGGCGGACGGGUGAGUAACGCGUGGGGAACCUGCCCUGUACCGGGGGAUAGCAGCCGGAAACGGCUGAUAAUACCGCAUAAGCGCACGAAUGUCGCAUGACAUGGUGUGAAAAACUCCGGUGGUAUAGGAUGGACCCGCGUCUGAUUAGCCGGUUGGUGGGGUAAAAGCCUACCAAAGCGAAGAUCAGUAGCCGAGUUGAGAGACUGACCGGCCACAUUGGGACUGAGACACGGCCCAGACUCCUACGGGAGGCAGCAGUU